This is a long non-coding RNA of Oncorhynchus masou masou (cherry salmon), 1874 nucleotides long. RefSeq lists it as uncharacterized. The record is from RefSeq and is a predicted model, not a curated record. NCBI's taxonomy places the organism in Eukaryota, Metazoa, Chordata, Actinopteri, Salmoniformes, Salmonidae. The transcript has 2 exons.
GGCUGGCACAUUGCCAGAGCAUUGUCACUCACAUAGUGUAAACAAGACUCUCAUUGGGUGCUGUCCAGUCCGCAUUGGGCUGUCUGGAAAAAAAGAAGCAAUAACUGGCCCUGCGGUUUCAAGGCGUCCCAGGGUUAGAUGAUGAAAGGAGAUAAGACGAGACUGUUUCAAGGCGCUCCAUACUCGGACCCCAUUCGCCCUCGAGCCAUAUGAGUCAAGCGUGAAUCAAAGGGAAUACGGCGGGCAGGAAGAGGGGACGUUAAACAUUAUAUAUAUUUUUAAAUUAGGUUAUAUUUCGGAUAAAUGCGAUGCAACAAUGGUUUAGCAGUAAACGUUUUGAGACAACCGCCGCGAAUCACCAGAUGAAUGGAAUACAGCGAGUAGAUAUAUCGUCUCAUAGAGAAAGAAGUGAAACGGCAAGCCCGGAGUCCCUCCUCUUGGAGUUUCAAUGGAGUAAAUGACCUGAGCUCUAGGACCAUGCCCCAGGACUACCUGACAUGAUGACUCCUUGCUGUCCCCAGUCCACCUGGCCGUGCUGCUGUUCCAGUUUCAACUGUUCUGCCUUAUUAUUAUUCGACCAUGCUGGUCAUUUAUGAACAUUUGAACAUCUUGACCAUGUUCUGUUAUAAUCUCCACCCGGCACAGCCAGAAGAGGACUGUCCACCCCACAUAGCCUGGUUCCUCUCUAGGUUUCUUCCUAGGUUUUGGCCUUUCUAGGGAGUUUUUCCUAGCCACCGUGCUUCUACACCUGCAUUGCUUGCUGUUUGGGGUUUUUGGGCUGGGUUUCUGUACGGCACUUUGAGAUUUCAGCUGAUGUACGAAGGGCUAUAUAAAUAAAUUUGAUUUGAUUUGAUUUGAAUUGGAACGCUGAGAGCCAGGCCUAAUCGCCCAACAUCAAUGCCCAAACUCACUAACAUGCUGACCAGACCGGACACGUCGCGUGCGCGAGAGUUGCAAAAUAAAUGUUGAAAUCCAUGUUAUUCAAUUAAAAAGCCUGGAAGGAGGAGAGAUGACUAGAAACGAUUCGGUUGACCAUUUUAUGUGUGGAUUAAUUGUCGGAGUAGAGGACCUUGUGCAUUUCAGGGAAAAUAACAACUCAAUGUUUAUAUUCCAGGACAAAUUAGCUAGCAACAGCAAGCUAGCUAAAUUGGAAAAAUUAGCUAGCAUGUGCAAGCUAGCUAGCUAAAUUGCCAUACAUGUAGGUGUCCACAUGCAGGUGUCCACAUACUUUUGGCCAUGUAGUGUACCUACACUGCGACGGAAAACUGUAAUUUAUGCGGUAAUUUGAGGUAUUAUCAACAGUAAAAAACGUUGAAACGUUUUACUGCAGCAUACUGUUAAUUAUGGUGUAUUGUGGGGAAAUUGCUGUAUUUCGAAUGGUACUGUAAUUCCAUCCCACAGAAUACAGUACCAUACCAUAUCUUUAGAGCGCCAAAAACCUUUUGACCACUAGUGGGUGCAUGGUAUUGUUGUUUCUGGCUCGUUAACAUAUUUUGAGGUGUGCCUUGUAAGAGGCUGUAUUUGUUGCACCCCAUGAGUGAGAAUGCUGCACCAAUUAUACUCCUAUGUGGCUAAAGUUCCCCAUCAAUUCAAAAUGUAUAGGGGACUGAUUGAAGUGUCAGCAAGUCUUGAACGUUAAGUGGUUUUAAGCAUUUAGCCAUGUCCUUUUGAUCUGUUUUCCCCUGUAGUUGAUGGCAGUUUUGAAAUCGUCGUUAGGGCCUCUAGAAGUGUAAGUGAUAUAAAACACCAAAUAUUCAUUGAUAUGCUGUAAUAUGUAAACACUUAGUAGCAAACCUGCUUGCACCAAUCCUAUGUAAUUACAGUAAAAUACUGUGAAAUACAAACCCUUACCAUCAAUAAAUGUAAUUCAUUCA